This is a non-coding RNA of Myodes glareolus (Bank vole), 6626 nucleotides long. The record is from RefSeq and is a predicted model, not a curated record. Lineage: Eukaryota; Metazoa; Chordata; Mammalia; Rodentia; Cricetidae.
CUUUUUCAAGCUCUCAGCUUGGUGCAUCUGCUGUUCUCACGGGUCCCAUUUUUUUUUUCUCUCGAGAAAAGGACGAAAGGGAACUCAUCAAACCUUCCUCAACUGAUGCUUUGAAAAGAUUCUCCGAUGACCUCUUGUCCCGUAAUCUAUAGCUUUGCCCUGACGCUGGAUUGUUGAAGGGCGAUAUAUUGGUCAGCAGAAUGGCUGAUGCUCAUACAACUUCUUUCCCUGAUUAUUGCUAAGCCACUUGCACUGAGAGUAGCCUGGCUGAAGACAGAACUAGAGAUCUUCAACUAGGACAUCAGGGGAACGAAUGCAUGGUCCAAAAAAGAAUCUCUAAGUAAGGCUUUUCUGGGACACAUAACACUCAGGUUCCCAUUGUGGCCCUUGGAGAUGCAAGGAGCCACAAUGAUUUGGACCAUUCUGGAUCUCCACUAUAGACAAAUGGGGACUGCGUGUUCUCGUGUCAGUGAUGUUGUGCAGUGGCUUAGGUGAACCAGUUAUUCAAGGUGCUGUGUGAGGGUGAUGUGCCUGCUCUUCAGCAUCUAGGGAGCCCAACCCUCAGCUGCUAGACAGGCUGACUGCUGGUGACUACAGCUGCCUCUCUGAGGGUUAAGUCCUCCGACCAAAUGUGUUACUUCUUCCUUCUCCUCAUACCUCAGAGCAGACUCUGGGCAGAGACUGAAGUGGAAGUUCAGAAGACUAGCUUCUUUGCCCGAUGGGAGCCAACUCAGAGAAGCAAUUCAUGUUCCAGAACAUCUCUUGGGCUCCAUAUAAAGGGAGUGUAUGGUUUGUUUUUUUUUUUUUUUGGGUCUCUCCUUGUUCAUUCAAUCCUCUUCUCAAUAUCCCACUUGAAUAAGAACUCACCCCAGUAAAUAACUUGAACGAGAAUCCCUGUUUUAGGAUCUGGUCCCAGAAAACCUAACUUGGGCUAGGAGACCUAGGGUUACUGGCCAUAGAGUAUCACUGCUCAGCUACAGAGCCUCAGGUCUCUGUUAGCAAACCCUCCUAUAGUGGGGACAUCUUCAUUGUCACCUUGACUGGAUUUAGAAGUGCCUUUGGACAGAAGCUUCUGGAUCUGUCUGUGAGGGGCUGUCUAGAUUAGACUAACUGUGGUAGGAAGAACCUCCUGGAACGCCAGCUGGAUAAUCAAUUAGGAUGGGAGCCUGGACUAAAGAAAUAGGAGAAAGGGCACUGAGUUCCAGCUCUCUUUGCAGUUUCUGUUCCUGAUGCCAUGAUGGCCUGGAUCCUCCGAGUAGGAGCCAGAAUAAACCCUCCUUUUUUUAAGUUGCUUUAGUUGGUUACUUUGCUGCAGCAGUGAGGAAAAAUAACUAACAUGCCUCAUUUACCUUAUGUCAAGGCUUCUCUUUCCAGCUUCUAAUUUCUGUAACAUGCUUCCCAGGCUGCAGACCUGACCACAUUUUCUUCCUUCUCUGGCUUAUUCCUUGCAUCUGCUGGAGGAUUUCCUCCCUGUCCCUGAUUUGCAUAUGCCAAACGGAUUCCUGCUUCCUCUCCUAUCCGUCCUCUUUCCCAUUCCCCUGAUCUUUCCACCUCUGAUACCUGGGACCUGUUGUUAGUCAUUUGUCAGUUAGUCUGGGGGUGAAAGGGCAUCUCUAGUGAGAAGAGACACAAGUAUGAACAAAGCUCUAAAUAACCUUGAACAAACAGGGAUGGUUCCACAUUCCAACUCAGCUUUUCUUAAAAGAUGGAAGCGAAACCCUAACCUUGACCCUAAUCUCAACUCCCAGUCUCAGUUUAUUCUAGUAUUUCACGGAUGGUUGAACGCAGGGCCCUUUCUGAUCAUCAUUCAACAACAGCAGCAGCUGCAGCAGUGACAAUAGACUUGGUAUUCUUACAUGUAACUGUCAUUUAAUCAUAUUAAUAUUGCUCUCUUCUCGUUUUUCAGUUUUAAAUGAUACUUGUACUUUCGAGGCAUCUUUUUAUUUAUGGCACACAACAACAAGCUUUCCAUUUUUUGGCAGCGGAUAAAGCUUCUUUAAAGCAUAUAUUUAAUUAAAUAGAAAGUGAUAUAUAGAACAUUUAAGUGCUGAAUAGUUCAUAUGUUUCACAGAAAUAAUAGAAACUGUGAACCGGGUGCACAGUGGCUUAGGUUUUUGUAGCCAUGACUCUUGACUACUUAUGUCUACAUUGAUUCAUGGGUAUUACUGACUCCCAAGCUGUUUGAAAAUGUUGUAAAUCGAAGCACAUUUUUCUGCUUGUUUGAAUUCUCUCUGAGUGUGUUUAUAUGGUUCUUACCAAACAUUUUUAUUUCCUGUAUUGACAAACAUAGUUUUGGCUAUCUAACAAAUACUCAAUGAAUUGUUAUCAUUAAUUGAUAUUGACACUUGAGAUACAUGUACCUUAAGCAGUUUUAGGUAGUGAUGUCUAAAGAUGAAUAAUAAGACCCCCAAGAAACAUACAAUAUAGUCUAAACAAAUAAAGUAAAAUAGAUACCAUAAUUCAGGCCAUAUGGGAACUUGGUCAAUUAUCACACAGGCAAUGGAAGAAAAGAGUCAGUACGGCUUCUAUGGAGGAGGAGGUGCUUAACUUGGCCUUUGGAUAUAGGUAGGUAGAUACCAAGGUGAAAAGAGAAAAUUGGCUGAAGGAGUGUUUCUUGCAGUGGAACCUUCCAUGAUUGUGCAGGUUCAAAGGUGAGUGCUGGGGAAGUGGGAUGGGAUAAAAGGUGGAAAGAAGGAUCCAGAAGGAGAUUAAAGGGUCUUGUAUCUUGGCUAAGGAACUUGGUCUUUACUGGGUGAUGAUGGAGUCAUGGAAAGACUUUACCGAGUUAUAUUACCCUUCCCUCAGAUUCAGGACAUGAAGACGAUCAUUCUAGAGCCACGUAGGCAAUGAGGUUACCCUGAGGGCAGAGAUCUCACCACCCUCGAAAGACUGUGAGGCUUGAACAAGAACGUGGCAGGAGUGUUUGUUUCUCUCUGCCUCCCUUUAUCAACCGUUAGGGAAAUCUUACAGAGAAAUGUGGGCAUUCACACUCUGACUGCUUUAUGAGCCGACAUCACACCAUCAUCAGUCUGACGUGAGUGUGUUUAUCUUCCUAUACUCACCUAAACCUCCAUCUAAGCUUCCUGCUGUGUCACACCUCUGGGAAACCACCUCUAAUGUCACUCUCAUUUCCCCGACUCCUCCCACAGCAGAUAAUAACAGUCUCCCAGGAACCCAGCAGAGUCUCAUUUCUCUCUCGACCUGCAGGCUGGCUAGCUGGUUGCCUAGCUUCCGAGACAGGGGCAGCCUACCCAUUGCUUCCGUGCUGUGCCCCGUUCCCUAUCAGGCCCCUACCAGGCAGAUCCUUGUCUUUGUACUUGCCUCAUGUCAAGAUCCAUCAGCAUAAAAGACUAUUAAUGAGGAUGGGAAGAGACAGAGCAAAGAGGAAAACACCACAGUCAGAUAAAAACAGAUCAAUAGUGGAGCCAAAUGGAGCAAGAGGCACAAAAGCAAUUCACAAGCUGUCAACUGCUCAAUGGACACACACUUCUGACAAUCCCAGGCAGACACAGAAGGGAGAGAGAUGGACAGAAACCCAGGGCAGCCUGUGCAGAGAAAGCACAAAGCGGAUAUUACCUAGCCAAAACUCAUCCUCCAGAUUCCCAAAGCCAACGCGAUAAUCAGCCCAUUUCCGGAAAAAAUCAGUUUGGCCGUUCUGCCGCCUCUGGAAGACCUGUGAAGAAAAAGAGAGGAGACGCUCCAUAAGACUGGGUUCUGUAUCGGCUAGCAUCAGGACCAUUUCAGAAGUGAGCUUAAUAUUUCCGUGGUAGCUUUCGCAGGGGAUGCUCAGAGCCCUUUUCUUGAAGUGCUGAUGCCUCUGACAAAUAGGCUGAGGGUGUGAUAUUGACAUUAAUUUGCACCCCUGCAAUAUAGAAAAGAUUCAGGAUACAAAUCAAGCUACAAAUAGUCAGGGGAAAUGGGCCUGAUUCUCAAAUUAAUCUUUUUGCACCACAGAGAGUAGCAGGAAGCAUUUCUCACCAAAGGACUGGGACCAACUUCAAAUCAUCCAGUCACUGUCAUCAUCUUAUUGCAGGCAAAGCAAUUGCAUAUCGUUCACUUUCCAAGCUGUUUAAGUGCUAAUUUCAUUUAACCUCCAAUACAUCAGCCUUGGCUUCAAUUUCCAAUUAUGCUUCAAGAAGGAGGCACAAAUAUGUCAGAAACAUAAAAGAAAAUGUCUCCCCAGAGAAUCAUGCGUGUAGUCAAAAUUUAACUCUUCCAAGCCGUCCCGUUGUGGAACAUUAAAGCUCCAGGACUGUGUCUGAGCAGCGAUAAGGGUGUGUACAGGAGGAUGGGUGGGGCUGCUUCCAUUCACACUGAAAUCAACCCCUGCUGCUCUGUUUAGAGCAGCUUCAGGAACUUGCUCAAGUGUGCAAUGACUAGCAUCUCCAGCUGCCCUAUAUCUUCUGCUCUGUACUGGCCAAUCAGAUAUGAGAGGAGGUGGUGUCAGCAAGUAGUGUCCCUCCCAACCACUGUUGCUCUGGGGAGGAAUUUGGGAUCCAGAAAAGGAUGAAGACAAAAGCAGCUCUUGUAACUAGAGGGUCAUCCACAUUUUGUCCAGAUCUGAUCUACCAUAUGCUACCCUCCAACAUUAGGAAACUAACUACUUCACCAUGGGAGUCUCAAGUGCUUCUGUGAGGUGGCUGCCUCCUCUUUGUUUUAGCUCCAACCCUUGGCAAGCAGGAUUGUUAUGUCUCACUCCUUUCCUUUCCCCAGCAGCCCCUGCAUUCAGUUGAUUUGCAGAAGGAGUCCAAAGCAAGGAAGGCAGUCAUCUUGCAUCCCUUGUUUGGGAUAGGCCACUGCACCCUUUGUAUGUGUCCUGCUUAGUUCUUAUUGUCAACUUGACCCAACACAGAGUCAUCUUGGAAGAAGAAACCUCAAGUGAAGAAUUGCUCUCAGGAGAUUGGCAAGUGGCCAUGUCUAUGAAGAAUUAUCUUGACUGAAGUGGGAAGGGCCACCUCACUGAGUAUAGCACCACCUGAGGGAGGUGGGCCUGGGCUGUAUAAAAAAUAGCUGAGCAUAAGCCAAUAAGUAACUUUCCUCCAUGCUUUCUGCUUUAGUUUCUGUUUGUGUUCCAGUUCUGACAUCCCUCGAUGAUGGAUUAGAGAUUGAAAGUCAGGGAAACAAGAUGAUGCCACUGAUUGUUCAGAGACGGGCCAGUAGACCACUGUCUGGACCACCUUUCGAAUGGAAUGGAUGAAUGGCAUCUGAACAAAGUCUUUGUCAUCCACAUGGUAGCCAUUAAGGAGGGCCCAAAUAAGCUCAGCAUUAGCAUAGAGAUGAAUGUCUAUUCCCUGUGCAAAGCAAUCUCUUGAUUGUACUAAACAAUCAAACAGCCAUGUUUUACAGUUCAGUUUAAAUUUAAGGAGAGGGCAGGGGAAGUAAAUUGCAGCUCAUCUUUCAGAAGGAACAGCCCAAUCUGUAAAACAAUACCUAAUUAGCUGUAAGAGAAGCUUAAAUCCUCAAGCACUUUUCUCUGAGAUAAGUUUUGUGCUUACCAGGCAAGCAGAGAGCAGCCUAUACUGGAGGACCCUGCCUAGAGGACAAGCUAAAGGCACAGCUUGCCACGGGAGGCGUGGUGGUUGGGGAGCUCUGUAACUGCGGUCUUCUGGGCCAAUGAAGAACAUGGCCACAUGAUACAGCUAUGUUUCUCUAUGGAACCGAGAUAGACAGGAGGAGCGAUUGAAGCCAGACAGCCGGUGUCAGCAAACAGCGCCUCCUGGUGGUGUUACACACUACAGCUGUGACACCCUGCCGCUUGGAAAGUCAGAACAGUGGAUGUCUUGGGCAGAGCAUGUCACACAAGGAAGAUGGCACACUAAAAUUCCUGAGAGUCCCCAUCACAGGUUGUCUAUAAAGCAUUUUGUGUUAGGAAGAGGCUACUGGUCUUCAUCAAGUCCCCACCCCCAACCCACCCGACCCAGAGAUAUAUUAACUCCGAGGACCAUACUCCGGAUUGCUACCACAGGUUUGCCAAAGGUUGGUGGAACAGGACACUUUCAAGAAUAGUCACAUCAAGGAUUGGUGAUAUGGUUCUGUAAAACUUAUGCUUUACAAAGAGAAUUUGUUUUUUUGUUUAAUUCUUGUGAAAAACUUUAGAGAAAGGUUGAUAGAGAUCCAACACUUACUUUAACAGAGAAGAAAAACCGCUCAGAAAGAUUACAAGAUUGACUUAUUCAGGAAGGUCGAAUUCAAAAUUUCAGAACCCAAGUAAAGUGUACUGUAAAAUCUAUUAAAACAAGGAAUACAUCCAUGGAUGGAGAAGACGACUCAGUGUUUAAGAUCCUUUGCUGCUCUUUCGGAGGAAUCAAGUUUCGUUCCCAGCACCCACCUCGGGCGACUCACAACUGUUGUAAUUCCAGACCCAGGGAAUCUGAUCGCGUCUUUAGUCCUUGUGAGCACCUGCAUACAUGUGUAUACACACACACACAAAUACACAUACACAUAUAUGCAUAUACAAAUAAAAUAUGAAGUCUUUAAAAAGCAAACCUUUUUAAAAAAAGAAUUAUAACCCAUACUCCAGUUUGGCAAGGAUCAUUCAUCUAUGUAAUGAGUAAGUGAUUUUUGUAUUUGACAUAUAGGUACAAAAUAUUGCAGGCGUUAUGUUCCAAUUAAAUGCUUCCCUUAAA